UUAAGUUAAUAAGGGCGCACGGUGGAUGCCUUGGCACUAGGAGCCGACGAAGGACGUGACAAACGACGAUAUGCCUUGGGUAGCUGUAAGUAAGCGAUGAUCCAGGGAUUUCCGAAUGGGGGAACCCAACAGGUAGUACCUGUUACCCACAUCUGUUAAGGAUGUGAGGAGGAAGACGCAGUGAACUGAAACAUCUAAGUAGCUGCAGGAAGAGAAAGCAAAAGCGAUUGCCUUAGUAGCGGCGAGCGAAACGGCAGNNNNNNNNNNNNNNNNNNNNNNNNNNNNNNNNNNNNNNNNNNNNNNNNNNNNNNNNNNNNNNNNNNNNNNNNNNNNNNNNNNNNNNNNNNNNNNNNNNNNAAACCGUGUGCCUACAACAAGUUCGAGCCCGUUAAUGGGUGAGAGCGUGCCUUUUGUAGAAUGAACCGGCGAGUUACGUUAUGAUGCGAGGUUAAGUUGAAGAGACGGAGCCGUAGGGAAACCGAGUCUGAAUAGGGCGCCUUAGUAUCAUGACGUAGACCCGAAACCAUGUGACCUACCCAUGAGCAGGUUGAAGGUGCGGUAAGACGCACUGGAGGACCGAACCAGGGCACGUUGAAAAGUGCUUGGAUGACUUGUGGGUAGCGGAGAAAUUCCAAACGAACUUGGAGAUAGCUGGUUCUCUCCGAAAUAGCUUUAGGGCUAGCGUCGACAUUAGAGAUUCUUGGAGGUAGAGCACUGUUUGGGUGAGGGGUCCAUCCCGGAUUACCAAUCUCAGAUAAACUCCGAAUGCCAAUGAAUUAUGGUCGGCAGUCAGACUGCGAGUGCUAAGAUCCGUAGUCGAAAGGGAAACAGCCCAGACCACCAGCUAAGGUCCCAAAAUAAUUGUUAAGUGGAAAAGGAUGUGGGGUUGCACAGACAACUAGGAUGUUAGCUUAGAAGCAGCUAUUCAUUCAAAGAGUGCGUAAUAGCUCACUAGUCGAGUGACCCUGCGCCGAAAAUGUACCGGGGCUAAAACAAUUUACCGAAGCUGUGGAUACCUUUAUAGGUAUGGUAGGAGAGCGUUCUAUGUGUGAUGAAGGUAUACCGUGAGGAGUGCUGGAACGCAUAGAAGUGAGAAUGCCGGUAUGAGUAGCGAAAGACAGGUGAGAAUCCUGUCCACCGUAAGACUAAGGUUUCCAGGGGAAGGCUCGUCCGCCCUGGGUUAGUCGGGACCUAAGGAGAGACCGAAAGGUGUAUCCGAUGGACAACAGGUUGAUAUUCCUGUACUAGAGUAUGUAGUGAUGGAGGGACGCAGUAGGCUAACUAAAGCAGACGAUUGGAAGAGUCUGUCUAAGCAGUGAGGUGUGAAUUGAGUCAAAUGCUUAAUUCUAUAACAUUGAGCUGUGAUGGGGAGCGAAGUUUAGUAGCGAAGUUAGUGACGUCACACUGCCAAGAAAAGCUUCUAGCGUUUAAACAUACUCUACCCGUACCGCAAACCGACACAGGUAGUCGAGGCGAGUAGCCUCAGGUGAGCGAGAGAACUCUCGUUAAGGAACUCGGCAAAAUGACCCCGUAACUUCGGGAGAAGGGGUGCUGACUUUAAGUCAGCCGCAGUGAAUAGGCCCAAGCAACUGUUUAUCAAAAACACAGCUCUCUGCUAAAUCGUAAGAUGAUGUAUAGGGGGUGACGCCUGCCCGGUGCUGGAAGGUUAAGAGGAGUGCUUAGCGUAAGCGAAGGUAUGAAUUGAAGCCCCAGUAAACGGCGGCCGUAACUAUAACGGUCCUAAGGUAGCGAAAUUCCUUGUCGGGUAAGUUCCGACCCGCACGAAAGGCGUAAUGAUUUGGGCACUGUCUCAACGAGAGACUCGGUGAAAUUUUAGUACCUGUGAAGAUGCAGGUUACCCGCGACAGGACGGAAAGACCCCAUGGAGCUUUACUGCAGUUUGAUAUUGAGUGUCUGUACCACAUGUACAGGAUAGGUAGGAGUCUAAGAGAUCGGGACGCCAGUUUCGAAGGAGACGCUGUUGGGAUACUACCCUUGUGUUAUGGCCACUCUAACCCAGAUAGGUGAUCCCUAUCGGAGACAGUGUCUGACGGGCAGUUUGACUGGGGCGGUCGCCUCCUAAAAGGUAACGGAGGCGCCCAAAGGUUCCCUCAGAAUGGUUGGAAAUCAUUCGCAGAGUGUAAAGGUAUAAGGGAGCUUGACUGCGAGAGCUACAACUCGAGCAGGGACGAAAGUCGGGCUUAGUGAUCCGGUGGUUCCGUAUGGAAGGGCCAUCGCUCAACGGAUAAAAGCUACCCUGGGGAUAACAGGCUUAUCUCCCCCAAGAGUUCACAUCGACGGGGAGGUUUGGCACCUCGAUGUCGGCUCGUCGCAUCCUGGGGCUGUAGUCGGUCCCAAGGGUUGGGCUGUUCGCCCAUUAAAGCGGCACGCGAGCUGGGUUCAGAACGUCGUGAGACAGUUCGGUCCCUAUCCGUCGCGGGCGUAGGAAAUUUGAGAGGAUCUGCUCCUAGUACGAGAGGACCAGAGUGGACUUACCGCUGGUGUACCAGUUGUCUUGCCAAAGGCAUCGCUGGGUAGCUAUGUAGGGAAGGGAUAAACGCUGAAAGCAUCUAAGUGUGAAACCCACCUCAAGAUGAGAUUUCCCAUGAUUAUAUAUCAGUAAGAGCCCUGAGAGAUGAUCAGGUAGAUAGGUUAGAAGUGGAAGUGUGGCGACACAUGUAGCGGACUAAUACUAAUAGCUCGAGGACUUAUCCAA
Molecule: ribosomal RNA, 2716 nt
Filed under: Streptococcus pneumoniae
Lineage: Bacteria; Bacillati; Bacillota; Bacilli; Lactobacillales; Streptococcaceae
Description: 23S ribosomal RNA
Rfam family: Bacterial large subunit ribosomal RNA
Source: RNAcentral